AUGCAAGUCGAGCGAACUGAUUAAAAGCUUGCUUCUAUGACGUUAGCGGCGGACGGGUGAGUAACACGUGGGCAACCUGCCUGUAAGACUGGGAUAACUUCGGGAAACCGAAGCUAAUACCGGAUAGGAUCUUCUCCUUCAUGGGAGAUGAUUGAAAGAUGGUUUCGGCUAUCACUUACAGAUGGGCCCGCGGUGCAUUAUCUAGUUGGUGAGGUAACGGCUCACCAAGGCGACCAUGCAUAACCAACCUGAGAGGGUGAUCGGCCACACUGGGACUGAUACUCGGCCCAGACUCCUACGGGAGGCAUCAAUAAGGAAUCUUCCGCAAUGGACGAAAGUCUGACGGAGCAACGCCGCGUGAGUGAUGAAAGCUUUCGGGUCGUAAAACUCUGUUGUUAGGGAAUAACAAGUACUAGAGUAACUGCUCGUACCUUGACAGUACCUAACCAGAUAGCCGCGGCUAACUACGUGCCAACAGCCGCGGUAAUACGUAAGUGGCAAGCGUUAUCCGGAAUUAUUGGGCGUAAAGCGCGCGCAUGCGAUUUCUUAACUCUGAUGUGAAAGCCCACGGCUCAUCCGUGAAGGGUCAUUGGAAACUGGGGAACUUGAGUGGAAAUUAGAAAAGCGGAAUUCCACGUGUAGCGGUGAAAUGCGUACAUAUGUGGAGGACACCACUGCUGAACGCAGCCUUUUGCUCUGUAGCUGACGCUGAGGCGCGAAAGCGUGUUGAAGCAAC
Molecule: ribosomal RNA, 736 nt
Filed under: Bacillus sp. RSBAUOCAS0007B
Lineage: Bacteria; Bacillati; Bacillota; Bacilli; Caryophanales; Bacillaceae
Description: bacterial SSU rRNA
Rfam family: Bacterial small subunit ribosomal RNA
Source: RNAcentral